This 497-nucleotide ribosomal RNA is filed under the name uncultured bacterium. RNAcentral describes it as "partial 16S ribosomal RNA". It matches the Rfam family "Bacterial small subunit ribosomal RNA", at positions 28 to 507 of the family's 1533-position model. The record is from RNAcentral.
GAUGAACGCUGGCGGCGUGCCUAAUACAUGCAAGUCGAGCGAACAGACGAGGAGCUUGCUCCUCUGACGUUAGCGGCGGACGGGCGAGUAACACGUGGAUAACCUACCUAUAAGACUGGGAUAACUUCGGGAAACCGGAGCUAAUACCGGAUAAUAUAUUGAACCGCAUGGUUCAAUAGUGAAAGACGGUUUUGCUGUCACUUAUAGACGGAUCCGCGCCGCAUUAGCUAGUUGGUAAGGUAACGGCUUACCAAGGCAACGAUGCGUAGCCGACCUGAGAGGGUGAUCGGCCACACUGGAACUGAGACACGGUCCAGACUCCUACGGGAGGCAGCAGUAGGGAAUCUUCCGCAAAGGGCGAAAGCCUGACGGAGCAACGCCGCGUGAGUGAUGAAGGUCUUCGGAUCGUAAAACUCUGUUAUUAGGGAAGAACAAAUGUGUAAGUAACUAUGCACGUCUUGACGGUACCUAAUCAGAAAGCCACGGCUAACUACGUG